RNAcentral lists this long non-coding RNA (2228 nucleotides) under Olea europaea (common olive). RNAcentral's name for it is "long non-coding RNA (OEUR_LNC015529)". The record is from RNAcentral. Lineage: Eukaryota; Viridiplantae; Streptophyta; Magnoliopsida; Lamiales; Oleaceae.
ACUGUAAUUUUUAUGAAAUUGGAUUCUUCUUUCUUCUUCUAGACUUGGAUGCAUCUGUAUAAAUUUAUUUUCUUUACAAUCUUCUAUGGAUGUUGGUAAAUAUAGCUGCCAUUUUAGGACAUUCUCUUCAUCUAAAAUCUGGAAUAUGAUGAACAAUUUUGUGUUUAAUCAGUUAGUCUUCUUCAGGCUGGGGGGUUAUAACUUAUGCAGCAGAGUUUUCCAAGGUUUCUUCAAAUUGAUUUUGCUGAAGUUUUGCAACAGGAGUACCUCAUCAAGGCUGUAUUCAGAAGGUGUCUGAUUGUUAAUUUCCCGUUUAUGUCGUCGUACAAUGUCCCAAGGAACUAUCAUUAUCGCUGGCAGUCUGACUGACACUAUCAAUGGAAUGAAUAUAAUUACAGCACCAAGCGAUGAUGGUCUGUCACACGCUGUAGCUUCAUAGCUGAACGAAAAGAUUCCGAGAGGAAAGUAGAGAAAUAAAAAGAGUGGAUUAAAAGUGAGUGGAACAUACGUUCCAAUUGCCAUACCAAAGGCCAAUGAUUUUCAAUACAACAUAAAAAUCCAGACCCACAUUUACAUCCCAAACCAACCCGGCUUAACACUGAGUUUGCGUGUUGACUCGUGCUUCUAAAGUUGAAGUCUCCCUAAUUGUCUUCACUUUCGGGUCUUCUCCCACAAUCAAUUGCCUCGAUGAAUUAAAGGAGUCAUCGAUCUUGAUCUCUUGUCCCCAAUGACUUGAAUAAAAUUUUUCUACCGUUGUCAUGAUGACAAAAGAACCUUAAUUAUGAUUUUUUGAAUUUAUGAUCGUUUACUUGAGCAGUGAAAACAUUUAAUCUUGCUCAAUGGGAACAUGAGAUCAAUUCUAAAGAAGUUAUUCUACAUAAAUCAUGACUUGACGUUUUAUUUUCAAAAUGUAUUGCUACGUUGAAUAUAUAAUACAAGUAAAUAAAUUUGUGUCUUAGAUUCAAUAAGGUAUUUAGGCUAGCUAAAUGCUUUGCCUUCUAAUAUGUUCUACUGAUUGGAGUCUAUAAGUAUACGAAGAGUUCAUUUGAUACAACUUUUGCUUUUACUUUUGCUUUUACAUUUACUUUUAUUUCUUAUAGAAAAGUUAGAUUCCUCAAAAACUCUUUUAAGUCAGACAAAGUAUUUUUAGAAAAUUAUCCUAACAUAUUCAAAAGUAGUUUCUCAGUCGUAGAAGUAGUUUUUAAAUUUUCAAAAAUCUUGUCAAACGAACCCUAAGCUAUCUUGACUGCGUAAAUCUUCCUUCUCUUUACCUCUACUUGUUGGCAUACAUAUAUUAUGAGAACGCAAACAAAAUUUAUCAAAUUGGAACAUUCUGUUGUUCGUUUUGCUCUCUUCUUGUAUAUUGUCACUCAACCACUAACAAUAUGUUUGGCACCAGUGGUACAUGCAGACAUUUUGAAUUAGAGGAACGCUAUUUGUUCGGGGUUGGAGAUGAGGAAUGAAAUCCGACUUAAUUUGCAAGCUGUAUUGAGUUUAAAUCAUAAAUAAAAUUAUUUAAUUAUCGAGUAAAAUAAUUUACACAAUUUAAUUGGAUAACAUAAGACAGCCAAACUACUUUUAUUAAUUUACUUAGGCAAGCACCUUGGCCAACCACAAAAAUACACUCACGCCCCCACCUAUAUUUUCUCCACUCAUUCUAUCUCACAUACCUUCUCCUUGUUUCUCUCUGUAUCUUCCCUUUCACAAACUCUGUCUUCCAUAUAUACACUACAUACAUCAACUAUAUUUGUAGAUAACAAUAUCGGUUGGCUGCACUUCUAAAAGGUUCUCAUGUGGUGAUUGAUUAAGAACAGUAAACUUCUGGAUAAUUUCAUUAAGACUGUAAUUUUUAUGAAAUUGGAUUCUUCUUUCUUCUUCUAGACUUGGAUGCAUCUGUAUAAAUUUAUUUUCUUUACAAUCUUCUAUGGAUGUUGGUAAAUAUAGCUGCCAUUUUAGGACAUUCUCUUCAUUUGAAAUCUGGAAUAUGAUGAACAAUUUUGUGUUUAAUCAGUUAGUCUUCUUCAGGCUGGGGGGUUAUAACUUAUGCAGCAGAGUUUUCCAAGGUUUCUUCAAAUUGAUUUUGCUGAAGUUUUGCAACAGGAGUCUCUGUCUGCCUCUAAAUGCCUAAAUGCUAAAUCUGAUUUUGUGAUUCAAAAAAUAAAAAGCUUAAAAGUCGUUGGGUCAUGUUACCCACCAGGACCUACUGUAGGUCCGCCAGUGUUUAGCAC